Non-coding RNA from Cinara cedri, 308 nucleotides. Lineage: Eukaryota; Metazoa; Arthropoda; Insecta; Hemiptera; Aphididae. The record is from the annotation of a GenBank genome assembly.
GCUAAGUAUAUAAAAGAAUAAAAAACAAAAAACCACAGAGAAGGACAAAACAAAAACAAGAAAACAAGAGAAGAGAGAAAAAAAAUACAUAUUUAAAAAGAUGAUGUACUAAUUUGUAUCGCACUUAGAGAAGAAUGAAUAAUAUCGAAAUUGUUUUGUAGAUUGUUACGGGAAACAAGUGCUCGGUUAAUGGGGGGGAAAGCCGUAAAGUGUAUUGUGUUUAGUGAUGUAAAAAGUUAGUCGGUUUCUAGAAUUAAAUGCAAGAACUGAUAUAUUUAUUUGACCAAAAAGAAAGCUGUCAUUUAAAG